This 273-nucleotide unclassified non-coding RNA is filed under the name Hevea brasiliensis (rubber tree). The record is from RNAcentral. Lineage: Eukaryota; Viridiplantae; Streptophyta; Magnoliopsida; Malpighiales; Euphorbiaceae.
CAAAACUACCUAAUUUAUAAAUAACAAUCAAGUUUCAAUUACAGAAGUGUACCUCACCGAAAAAACAUAAAAUUCAGCACCUUGGAGUUGUUUUUUGCAAAAGCGGAUGCCAAAAUUGAACUCAAAACGUUGAAAUUAGCUGGGUAGGAAAUUGUCAAGAAUUUGCUGUCUUGGUAGUGAUGUUAAUGUGGCGCUUCCUACUGACGAAAGCUCUUCCUCGUUACAUGAUGGGUUGUGACCCGACCGGGCGGAUUCUUGAAUUUCUGAUGGUGG